AGCUGGAUCAUUUUCCGAUAAUCAAAACUUUUUGUCUGAGAGAGGUCCCAACCGCCUUCCGGCCUUUUAUUGAGGGGGAGGUUAACGGUUUAUUCUCUCCAAAAAAGGAGACCACCAAAAAAUAUUACUUGAAACUUUGCCUCAUCACGCGCAAACCUUAUUAGGGUUUGUGUUUGGUGAACGGCUUCCACAACGUGUCGCGAUGGAUGACUUGGCUUCCUAUUUCGUUGAAGAACGCAGCAAAGUGCGAUAAGUGGUAUCAAUUGCAGAAUCACCCAAUUACCGAAUCUUUGAACGCAAAAGGCGCCCGAGAGAAGCUGUUCACCAGUGAACCUCGUGCAUGCCGCAAAUCUCAGUGUCGAACAAAAAACAUAUUCACCGUCUUUAAAAAACGGGGAAAAAGAGUCUUGGAUUUUUCUUGCGUGAGAAGAAAUUCUCGCACACAAGAAAGCCAAGUGGUUGCUCCGAACGUACAUGCGCGCAAGCGUCUCUGUGGCCUCAACUAUGGGCAACAACCAAAACAAACCAACAAAUUUUAGAGAAGGAAAAUUCAUUUUUUCAUAUCUCCAAAACGAAAACAACAACAUUCCGUUCACAGACCUGAGUGCGGCAGGACUACCCGCCGAACUUAAGCAUAUUACUCAGCGGAGGAAAAAGAAAACAACCGUGAUUCCCUCAGUCAGCGGCGAGCGAAGAGGGACCGAACUCGUUGCCGAAUCGGGCCUCAACGGCCUUGAGUUGUGGCAAAAACGGUGUUCCGUGGUUGGUGUGGGAUUGGCGAAAUUCAAUGUGCAAAGCAAACCCUGCUGAACACAACCCUUCAUGUGAGUAUUGAGCCAUAGAAGGUGGUAGCCCAUUGAGCCAAGAACCCGAGCGCCCCACUGGAUGCUCAUAGAGAGUAGCACUGCUUGGGAAUGCAGUGUCAAGCGGCAGGUAUUUGUCUGCCAAAGUUAAACACAGAGUAGGAAGACCGAUAUCGAACAAGUAGCGUGAGCGAAAGUUUGAAAAGCACUUUGGAAAGAGAGUGACAUAGAACCUGAAGUCGUGACAAUGAUAAUGGAAGUACCUCCAUUUCACUGGCCAAAACCAGCCUUCAAAGCAUUAUCUUCCUCUACGCACCCGUCAAAAAGGAGCGUGGGGGCAACAAGUGCCGACAAGGGGCUCUGGUGAAACGAGCGGAGAUAAAGUCGGGAGCACUGCGUGGAGUGGGUCAAACCUCUCUAUGCAGCGAGCCUCGGCUUCUCCGUGAUGCUCAAUGUUGGCAAACCGAAAUGGGGUGCCUUCACCCGUCUUGAAACACGGACCAAGGAGUCAAACAGACGCGCAAGGGGGAAGAUCUAGUGUAAAAAACUUCUCUCGUACUGAAAGGGUUUCUUUUUAUUUGGUGUGCACACAAAACGAAUGCCCAACACCGACCGGCCCCCCGUGGGUUGAGUUUGAGUGUGCCUGUUUGGACCCGAAAGGUGGUGAACUAUACCUGAACAAGGUGAAGCCCGGGGAAACCCAGGUGGAGGCCUGUAGCGAUGCUGACGUGCAAAUCGCUCGCAUGAUUUGGGUAUCGGAGCGAAAGACUCAUCGAACCACCUAGUAGCUGGUUCACAU
Molecule: unclassified non-coding RNA, 1602 nt
Filed under: uncultured fungus
Lineage: Eukaryota; Fungi
Description: sequence contains 18S rRNA gene, ITS1, 5.8S rRNA gene, ITS2, 28S rRNA gene
Rfam family: Eukaryotic large subunit ribosomal RNA (bases 596-1602)
Source: RNAcentral